RNAcentral lists this ribosomal RNA (506 nucleotides) under uncultured bacterium. RNAcentral describes it as "bacterial SSU rRNA". It matches the Rfam family "Bacterial small subunit ribosomal RNA", at positions 19 to 518 of the family's 1533-position model. The record is from RNAcentral.
AUGGCUCAGGAUGAACGCUAGCGGCAGGCUUAACACAUGCAAGUCGAGGGGCAUCGGGAGUAGCAAUACUUGCCGGCGACCGGCGCAAGGGUGCGUAACGCGUGAGCAACAUGCCCGUAUCAGGGGGGAUAAUCCAUGGAAACGUGGUCUAAUACCCCAUAGUAAUUAUGUAAGGCAUCUUAUAUAAUUUAAAGCUUUGGUGGAUACGGAUUGGCUCGCGUGACAUUAGCUAGAUGGUAAGGUAACGGCUUACCAUGGCUACGAUGUCUAGGGGUUCUGAGAGGAAGGUCCCCCACACUGGAACUGAGACACGGUCCAGACUCCUACGGGAGGCAGCAGUGAGGAAUAUUGGACAAUGGAUGGAAAUCUGAUCCAGCCAUGCCGCGUGCAGGAAGACGGCCCUAUGGGUUGUAAACUGUCUUUUGUAUGGGAGCAAUAAGGGCUACGCGUAGUCCGAUGAGAGUACCAUACGAAUAAGCACCGGCUAACUCCGUGCCAGCAGCGGC